Drosophila willistoni is the source of this 635-nucleotide long non-coding RNA. RefSeq lists it as uncharacterized. NCBI's taxonomy places the organism in Eukaryota, Metazoa, Arthropoda, Insecta, Diptera, Drosophilidae. The transcript is spliced from 2 exons. The record is from RefSeq and is a predicted model, not a curated record.
GUUUACUACCUGAUAGAAGGAAGAACAAAUGGACAUGGCGACUCGUUCGUUCAGUGUUGUAUUUAAUUUAAUUCAAUUCAAUUCAAAAUUGUCGCGAACCGAUUUAAAUGACUUUUGCCCUAAUAACUUGUUGUCGAGUGACCAUUUAGAGUAUUUGUAGUGAUGGUCUCAUUAUAGCGGUCUUAUUGAAUAUGAUAACUACAAAAUUAUCGAAAAAAAAUGAAUUUUCGGGCUGCCAUAUGGAAUAGAAUUGACCAAAUUCUCGAUCGUGUAUUUACUAUAGCGCGUUAUACAUGGUUGGAUAUUCUAGCAUUUGGGGUCGAUACGGAUGACUUUCAUACUUUAUCUUACCCGGGUUAUACAUAUAUAGGUUAAAUAUCAAGAUUCAUUCCAAUAGAUUUCCAAAUGGAGGCGUGAAGUUGAUUUGCACGGACAGUCGGACGGACGGACAUGGCUAUAUGACUCAGCUUUUCAUGCUGAUCAAGAAUUCAUUAUGGGCCGACACCAUCGUCUCCUUCUCUACGUUAAAAACAUCUCACUAAUUUCAAACACUCCUAGUAAGAGUAGCAAAAUAAACUUCAUUUUCCUUUAUGUAAAUAUUAAUCUGCAAUAAAAAUUUAUGAAAAUUCUUGAAA